Molecule: small RNA, 80 nt
Filed under: Flavobacterium swingsii
Lineage: Bacteria; Pseudomonadati; Bacteroidota; Flavobacteriia; Flavobacteriales; Flavobacteriaceae
Description: Flavo-1 RNA
Rfam family: Flavo-1 RNA
Source: RNAcentral
UUUUAGCCCCGAUAGUAGUGAAAAUCCUUUUCUUUUUUUCUUUAGAAAAGAAAAGAUUGCAACGGAUAGCGGGAAUAGCU